RNAcentral lists this ribosomal RNA (512 nucleotides) under Aspidiotus nerii (oleander scale). RNAcentral's name for it is "SSU rRNA". It matches the Rfam family "Eukaryotic small subunit ribosomal RNA", at positions 37 to 490 of the family's 1831-position model. The record is from RNAcentral. Lineage: Eukaryota; Metazoa; Arthropoda; Insecta; Hemiptera; Diaspididae.
UCAAAGAUUAAGCCAUGCAUGUCUCAGUGCAAGCCGUCCUGUACGGUGAAACCGCGAAAGGCUCAUUAAAUCAGUUAUGGUUCCUUAGAUAGUACCCACGUUACUUGGAUAACUGUGGUAAUUCUAGAGCUAAUACAUGCCGACAGAGUUCCGACCAGCGUCGCGGCGGCUUGCCGUUCGCGACGUUCGGAAGGAGCGCUUUUAUUAGAUCAAAAUCGGCCAAGCGCAACGUUCGCGUAGCGUUAGUGGCCCGCGCAAAGACUUGACGACUCUGAAUAACUUCGAGCUGAUCGCACGGUCUCGCACCGGCGACGUAUCUUUCAAAUGUCUGCCUUAUCAACUGUCGACGGUACGUUCGAUGCUUACCGUGGUGGUAACGGGUAACGGGGAAUCAGGGUUCGAUUCCGGAGAGGGAGCCUGAGAAACGGCUACCACAUCCAAGGAAGGCAGCAGGCGCGCAAAUUACCCACUCCCAGCUCGGGGAGGUAGUGACGAAAAAUAACGAUACGGGA